Molecule: ribosomal RNA, 1442 nt
Filed under: Klebsiella pneumoniae
Lineage: Bacteria; Pseudomonadati; Pseudomonadota; Gammaproteobacteria; Enterobacterales; Enterobacteriaceae
Description: bacterial SSU rRNA
Rfam family: Bacterial small subunit ribosomal RNA
Source: RNAcentral
UGGCGGCAGGCCUAACACAUGCAAGUCGAGCGGUAGCACAGAGAGCUUGCUCUCGGGUGACGAGCGGCGGACGGGUGAGUAAUGUCUGGGAAACUGCCUGAUGGAGGGGGAUAACUACUGGAAACGGUAGCUAAUACCGCAUAACGUCGCAAGACCAAAGUGGGGGACCUUCGGGCCUCAUGCCAUCAGAUGUGCCCAGAUGGGAUUAGCUAGUAGGUGGGGUAACGGCUCACCUAGGCGACGAUCCCUAGCUGGUCUGAGAGGAUGACCAGCCACACUGGAACUGAGACACGGUCCAGACUCCUACGGGAGGCAGCAGUGGGGAAUAUUGCACAAUGGGCGCAAGCCUGAUGCAGCCAUGCCGCGUGUGUGAAGAAGGCCUUCGGGUUGUAAAGCACUUUCAGCGGGGAGGAAGGCGUUAAGGUUAAUAACCUCAUCGAUUGACGUUACCCGCAGAAGAAGCACCGGCUAACUCCGUGCCAGCAGCCGCGGUAAUACGGAGGGUGCAAGCGUUAAUCGGAAUUACUGGGCGUAAAGCGCACGCAGGCGGUCUGUCAAGUCGGAUGUGAAAUCCCCGGGCUCAACCUGGGAACUGCAUUCGAAACUGGCAGGCUAGAGUCUUGUAGAGGGGGGUAGAAUUCCAGGUGUAGCGGUGAAAUGCGUAGAGAUCUGGAGGAAUACCGGUGGCGAAGGCGGCCCCCUGGACAAAGACUGACGCUCAGGUGCGAAAGCGUGGGGAGCAAACAGGAUUAGAUACCCUGGUAGUCCACGCCGUAAACGAUGUCGAUUUGGAGGUUGUGCCCUUGAGGCGUGGCUUCCGGAGCUAACGCGUUAAAUCGACCGCCUGGGGAGUACGGCCGCAAGGUUAAAACUCAAAUGAAUUGACGGGGGCCCGCACAAGCGGUGGAGCAUGUGGUUUAAUUCGAUGCAACGCGAAGAACCUUACCUGGUCUUGACAUCCACAGAACUUAGCAGAGAUGCUUUGGUGCCUUCGGGAACUGUGAGACAGGUGCUGCAUGGCUGUCGUCAGCUCGUGUUGUGAAAUGUUGGGUUAAGUCCCGCAACGAGCGCAACCCUUAUCCUUUGUUGCCAGCGGUCCGGCCGGGAACUCAAAGGAGACUGCCAGUGAUAAACUGGAGGAAGGUGGGGAUGACGUCAAGUCAUCAUGGCCCUUACGACCAGGGCUACACACGUGCUACAAUGGCAUAUACAAAGAGAAGCGACCUCGCGAGAGCAAGCGGACCUCAUAAAGUAUGUCGUAGUCCGGAUUGGAGUCUGCAACUCGACUCCAUGAAGUCGGAAUCGCUAGUAAUCGUAGAUCAGAAUGCUACGGUGAAUACGUUCCCGGGCCUUGUACACACCGCCCGUCACACCAUGGGAGUGGGUUGCAAAAGAAGUAGGUAGCUUAACCUUCGGGAGGGCGCUUACCACUUUGUGAUUCA